RNAcentral lists this ribosomal RNA (468 nucleotides) under uncultured Rhodoferax sp. RNAcentral's name for it is "bacterial SSU rRNA". It matches the Rfam family "Bacterial small subunit ribosomal RNA", at positions 916 to 1381 of the family's 1533-position model. Lineage: Bacteria; Pseudomonadati; Pseudomonadota; Betaproteobacteria; Burkholderiales; Comamonadaceae. The record is from RNAcentral.
GACGGGACCCGCACAAGCGGUGGAUGAUGUGGUUUAAUUCGAUGCAACGCGAAAACCUUACCCACCUUUGACAUGUACGGAACCCUUUAGAGAUAGAGGGGUGCUCGAAAGAGAGCCGUAGCACAGGUGCUGCAUGGCUGUCGUCAGCUCGUGUCGUGAGAUGUUGGGUUAAGUCCCGCAACGAGCGCAACCCUUGUCAUUAGUUGCUACAUUCAGUUGGGCACUCUAAUGAGACUGCCGGUGACGAGCCGGAGGAAGGUGGGGAUGACGUCAAGUCCUCAUGGCCCUUAUAGGUGGGGCUACACACGUCAUACAAUGGCUGGUACAAAGGGUUGCCAACCCGCGAGGGGGAGCCAAUCCCAUAAAGCCAGUCGUAGUCCGGAUCGUAGUCUGCAACUCGACUACGUGAAGUCGGAAUCGCUAGUAAUCGUGGAUCAGAAUGUCACGGUGAAUACGUUCCCGGGUCUU